RNAcentral lists this long non-coding RNA (323 nucleotides) under Triticum aestivum (bread wheat). RNAcentral describes it as "long non-coding RNA (TAES_LNC014765)". Lineage: Eukaryota; Viridiplantae; Streptophyta; Magnoliopsida; Poales; Poaceae. The record is from RNAcentral.
CUUCUUCUUCUUCCUCUUCUUCUUUUUUCUUCUCCUCCUCCUCUUCUUCUUCUUCCUUUCCUUUUUCCUCUUCUUCUUCUCCUCCUCUCCUCUUUUUCUCUUCUUCUUCUUCUUUCCUCAAACUAAACUAAACCUAAAACUAAAACUAAAACUAAAUCUAAACUAAACAUAAACCUAAAACUAAUAAAACAGAAAAAAAGGAAAAAACUAAAUCUAAACCUAAAAUUAAACUAAAACUAAACCUAAAACUAAAACUAAAACUAAAUCUAAACUAAAACUAAAAAAGAAAAAAACAGAAAAAAAAACAGGAAAAAGGAGGGGGG